Long non-coding RNA from Pogoniulus pusillus (Red-fronted tinkerbird), 957 nucleotides. RefSeq lists it as uncharacterized. Lineage: Eukaryota; Metazoa; Chordata; Aves; Piciformes; Lybiidae. The record is from RefSeq and is a predicted model, not a curated record. The transcript is spliced from 2 exons.
UGCUCUCCUGGCCUGCUGCCCAGCUGUGUGGCUUUGAGAGUUGUGUGGUGAGAUGGUAGCAAGUGCCAGGCAAUGGCAUCCUUGUGAAGGAGUUGGCAGGGAUGCUGCAGUUUGGAGCAGGGCCGAGGCUGGGAGCUCAGGCAGCACUUGAGGCAGUGCUGUGGGACAGGGAUUUGGUCCUUUUGGCUGCAGGCUUUCCUUGGGCUCUGGUGCUGCUGGGUGUUUGCCCCUGGAGGCCCAGAGCGUGACAGGAGUUCUUUAGUUGCCUGCACUGUGCUCACCUUCCUGCUCCAGUGCCUGUGGAUGCCUUGGCCAGAAGGUGCAGCUCCAUACUGCAGCGAGCAGACCUCCCAAGAUGAACGUCCAGGACUCAGAAGGGACUCACUGCCAGUGCCCAGAGCCGGAGGACCUGGCCUCGAUGGCAAGCUGCAGGGAGGCAUUCCUGGCUGGAGCGUGGCAAAGAGAGUUGGCCGUGGGCAGGCACAAGGGCUCUGGUUUCCUUCUCUCUCUCCCCUUGAGCUCACUCUGUCUCAAAGCAGGGCAGUACCCAGCGCCAAGGCAGAUGUUCACCCCCAGGAGGUCAGCCAGAGCUCACCUUGCCAUCCCCACCUGUGCUGGAGACUGUUCUCAGCGUAGCUGCACUCAGCGGAGUAGCCUUCCCCAUCGGGAGCCUUCCAGCCCCUGGCACACUCCUGCUGCUGCGUGUCUGAGGGGCAGCCAGCACUGAGCACACCUUGCACUCACCCACAGCUGAAGGCCUUCAUCUCCAGAAGGUCUCCAUCCCAGCCCUCUAAGCCAGCCUGGAGGCAGCGACCCAACGCCAGCAGCCUGUGCUUACUCUCCAGCACGUGGGGCUUUUGCACUGGCCACAGAUCACUGCCUCUCAGGAGCUCACUUCUUCCUCCAGCUGUACAGGGCUGCUGAGAGGCUCUCUGCCAGCUGCAGGCACUCUGCAAC